AACGAACGCUGGCGGCAUGCCUAACACAUGCAAGUCGAACGAAGGCUUCGGCCUUAGUGGCGCACGGGUGCGUAACGCGUGGGAAUCUGCCCUUUGGUUCGGAAUAACAGCUGGAAACGGCUGCUAAUACCGGAUGAUGACGAAAGUCCAAGAUUUAUCACCAGAGGAUGAGCCCGCGUUGGAUUAGGUAGUUGGUGGGGUAAAGGCCUACCAAGCCGACGAUCCAUAGCUGGUCUGAGAGGAUGAUCAGCCACACUGGGACUGAGACACGGCCCAGACUCCUACGGGAGGCAGCAGUGGGGAAUAUUGGACAAUGGGCGCAAGCCUGAUCCAGCAAUGCCGCGUGAGUGAUGAAGGCCCUAGGGUUGUAAAGCUCUUUUACCCGGGAAGAUAAUGACUGUACCGGGAGAAUAAGCCCCGGCUAACUCCGUG
Molecule: ribosomal RNA, 432 nt
Filed under: uncultured bacterium
Lineage: Bacteria
Description: partial 16S ribosomal RNA
Rfam family: Bacterial small subunit ribosomal RNA
Source: RNAcentral